Molecule: microRNA precursor, 97 nt
Organism: Ovis aries (sheep)
Lineage: Eukaryota; Metazoa; Chordata; Mammalia; Artiodactyla; Bovidae
Rfam family: mir-544 microRNA precursor family
Source: Rfam
GUCACCUGGGGACCUUGUUCAAUUCAGAUUCUGAUUCAGUAGAUUUACGGUGGGGCCCAAGAUUCUGCAUUUUUAACAAGCUCUCAGGUGAUACUGA